This 69-nucleotide transfer RNA is filed under the name Dixella sp. ZK-2014. RNAcentral describes it as "tRNA-Asp". The record is from RNAcentral. Lineage: Eukaryota; Metazoa; Arthropoda; Insecta; Diptera; Dixidae.
AAAAAAUUAGUUAAAAAAUAACCUUAGUUUGUCAAACUAAAAUUAUUAAUUAAAAUUUAAUAUUUUUUA